UAGUCAUAUGCUUGUCUCAAAGAUUAAGCCAUGCAUGUGUAAGUAUAAGUAUUGUACAGCGAAACUGCGAAUGGCUCAUUAAAUCAGUUAUUAUUUACUUGAUAAUCGAAAGCUACAUGGAUAACCGUGACAAAUUACAGCUAAUACAUGCAGUCAGACCUGGUCCAAGGGUCGUAAUUAUUAGUAUUAAACCUCUUCCGCAAGGAGUGUGAUGAAUCAUAAUAAUCGAACGGAUCGCUGAAUUCUGCGAUAAAUCAUUCAAGUUUCUGCCCUAUCAGCUUUGGAUGGUAGUGUAUUGGACUACCAUGGCAGUCACGGGUAACGGAGAAUUAGGGUUCGAUUCCGGAGAGGGAGCCUGAGAAACGGCUACCACAUCUAUGGAAGGCAGCAGGCGCGAAAAUUGCCCAAUCCCGACACGGGGAGGCAGUGACAAGAAAUAACAACUCUUGGAUUUCUAAGAAGUGUAAUGAGGGUAAUUUACAACCCUUACCGAAAGCAAUU
This 501-nucleotide ribosomal RNA is filed under the name uncultured eukaryote. Its description in RNAcentral is "SSU rRNA". It matches the Rfam family "Eukaryotic small subunit ribosomal RNA", at positions 21 to 549 of the family's 1831-position model. The record is from RNAcentral.